Molecule: ribosomal RNA, 118 nt
Filed under: Pteropus alecto (black flying fox)
Lineage: Eukaryota; Metazoa; Chordata; Mammalia; Chiroptera; Pteropodidae
Source: RNAcentral
GCCUGCUGCCAUGCCACCCUGAGCACACCCGAUCCCGGCUGACCUCAGAAGCUAAGCAGGGUCGGGCCGGUUAGUGCUUGGAUGGGAGACCACCCAGGAAGACCAGGUGCUGUAGGCU